GCUUUGGGGAGGUGCAAAUGACCUUUGAUCCAGAGAUUUCCGAAUGGGACAACCCAAUAUCUUGAAGAGGUAUUAUCCAACGUUGUUGGAGGCUAACGCAGGGAACUGAAACAUCUUAGUACCUGCAGGAAAAGAAAAUAAACAAUGAUUC
This 151-nucleotide ribosomal RNA is filed under the name Prolixibacteraceae bacterium JC049. RNAcentral describes it as "partial 23S ribosomal RNA". It matches the Rfam family "Bacterial large subunit ribosomal RNA", at positions 75 to 237 of the family's 2925-position model. Lineage: Bacteria; Pseudomonadati; Bacteroidota; Bacteroidia; Marinilabiliales; Prolixibacteraceae. The record is from RNAcentral.